AGAAUCAACGCUGGCGGCGUGCCUAACACAUGCAAGUCGAACGAGAAAGUGGAGCAAUCCAUGAGUAAAGUGGCGCACGGGUGAGUAACACGUGACUAACCUACCCUUGAGUGGGGGAUAACCUAGGGAAACCUGGGCUAAUACCGCAUAAUACCUUCGGGUCAAAGGAGCAAUUCGCUUAAGGAGGGGGUCGCGGCCGAUUAGUUAGUUGGCGGGGUAAUGGCCCACCAAGACUGUGAUCGGUAUCCGGCCUGAGAGGGCGCACGGACACACUGGAACUGAAACACGGUCCAGACUCCUACGGGAGGCAGCAGUGGGGAAUUUUGCGCAAUGGGGGAAACCCUGACGCAGCAACGCCGCGUGGAGGAUGAAGUCCCUUGGGACGUAAACUCCUUUCGAUCGGGACGAUUAUGACGGUACCGAAGAAGAAGCCCGGCUAACUUCGCGCCAGCAGCCGC
Molecule: ribosomal RNA, 458 nt
Filed under: uncultured bacterium
Lineage: Bacteria
Description: SSU rRNA
Rfam family: Bacterial small subunit ribosomal RNA
Source: RNAcentral